UGCCGAUUGAAAGAGCUGCGUUCGGUUUUAAUAUAUUUCGCCCUGUACCGCUGUCUUCUGUCUGACAGGCCUUCCUCCAUUUUAAUGUCCGAAACCCUUAUAAUGAAAUCCAGGUGCCAUAAAUCUAACAUGAGGGCUUUUGCUCCCAAAUGUAACAACUGCCCCUCAAAUUUCAUAUCUCACAGCCAGCCCCUAGAUCUUUCUGUAACACUGCCCCCAUCUUCAGUUUGUUCUCCGUUCCUGCUCUCCAUACAUGAACCGACCAAUAAUAUCGUACAAUAACCUGUAUGUAACAGGGUGCUGCUAAGUGUGUCUUUCAAUAUUUACUGGAGUGAGAGCUGGCAUCACAAGUAUAGCUCAUGGGUGACCGAGAGAAUGCAUCAUAUGGAUCCCGGGCCCAGGCAAUCAUCCCCCAGAAGAUGAACCUUCUACUCCGAGGGCUCCUUCUUUUCCUCAUUGGUGUCUUCCUGGCUCUAGUGUUGAACUUGCUGCAGGUGCAGAGGAAUGUCACCCUCUUUCCCCCAGAUGUGCUCUCCAGUCUCUUCUCUUCAGCUUGGUGGGUGCCACUGUGUUGUGGCACAGCUGCAGAAACAUGUGUAUCACAGAGAUUUCCCUCCCUCCAUUGUCUUUCUCCCCUGCUUCGGUAGGUCCGGGCCCCGCUUGCCAGAGAAUGUGCAGGGCCCAGAUACCAGGAGUGAAUCCCCCAGGAGAAAUCAGGGGUACAAUAUUGUCCUGACAGCACUCUUGUUCCAGGAAUGAUGGAUAAUCCUGGGCACUUUGUACACCAGCUCUUUUUACGCACAUCAACAGAGCUGGAAAAUCAAAGAAAUCUCAAGAAAGUUAAACAUUCUCCACUAAAACGGCAAAUUCUGUGAAAUCUGCUAUUUUAGAGUUACCCAAUCGACCAGCACUCCCUGUGCCUAUUACUCUGAAUGGUAAUAUGGGUCAGACAGUUAUCUUUCACAGAAAAGGCAGUUACGAAUUUCAGCCUCCCAGAGAGGAGGUAAGAGAAAUGAUUGUAUUUCACAGUCACUUGUAUUGGACGAGGAGUAUAGGAUUCUUUAUUAGAGUUUAGAAUGGGGACACUGAACGGCUAUGGUCAAAGGUUUUCUGGUGGGCUCCUGUCACCUCAAUCCGACAUUAUUUGGAAGCCUGAGUACUUUUAUUGCUGCAGAGACAGAGUCCAUCACUGCAGCCGCUUACCAACCCUAAAUUAGGGAUUAUUAGGGAUUUUUUUUGUUUUAAAUGGCAACAUUACUCUACUUAACUGCUUAUCGAUUGCUUUGUGCCCUUAUAUACAAAGCUAUGAUGUACUUUGGCACAACAAAUGUGAUAAUAAAUAACUUUA
This is a long non-coding RNA of Xenopus laevis (African clawed frog), 1348 nucleotides long. RefSeq lists it as uncharacterized. The record is from RefSeq and is a predicted model, not a curated record. Lineage: Eukaryota; Metazoa; Chordata; Amphibia; Anura; Pipidae. The transcript has 3 exons.